This 497-nucleotide ribosomal RNA is filed under the name uncultured bacterium. Its description in RNAcentral is "partial 16S ribosomal RNA". It matches the Rfam family "Bacterial small subunit ribosomal RNA", at positions 28 to 507 of the family's 1533-position model. The record is from RNAcentral.
GAUGAACGCUGGCGGCGUGCCUAAUACAUGCAAGUCGAGCGAACAGAUGAGGAGCUUGCUCCUCUGACGUUAGCGGCGGACGGGUGAGUAACACGUGGAUAACCUACCUAUAAGACUGGGAUAACUUCGGAAAACCGGAGCUAAUACCGGAUAAUAUAUUGAACCGCAUGGUUCAAUAGUGAAAGACGGUUUUGCUGUCACUUAUAGAUGGAUCCGCGCCGCAUUAGCUAGUUGGUAAGGUAACGGCUUACCAAGGCAACGAUGCGUAGCCGACCUGAGAGGGUGAUCGGCCACACUGGAACUGAGACACGGUCCAGACUCCUACGGGAGGCAGCAGUAGGGAUUCUUCCGCAAUGGGCGAAAGCCUGACGGAGCAACGCCGCGUGAGUGAUGAAGGUCUUCGGAUCGUAAAACUCUGUUAUUAGGGAAGAACAAAUGUGUAAGUAACUAUGCACGUCUUGACGGUACCUAAUCAGAAAGCCACGGCUAACUACGUG